UCCUACGGGACGCAGCAGUGGGGAAUAUUGGGCAAUGGGCGCAAGCCUGACCCAGCAACGCCGCGUGAGGGAAGAAGGCCCUCGGGUUGUAAACUUCUUUUAUUCGGGACGAAACAAAUGACGGUACCGAAUGAAUAAGCCACGGCUAACUACGUGCCAGCAGCCGCGGUAAUACGUAGGUGGCAAGCGUUAUCCGGAUUUACUGGGUGUAAAGGGCGUGUAGGCGGGAGUGCAAGUCAGAUGUGAAAACUAUGGGCUCAACCCAUAGCCUGCAUUUGAAACUGUACUUCUUGAGUGCUGGAGAG
This 305-nucleotide ribosomal RNA is filed under the name uncultured bacterium. Its description in RNAcentral is "bacterial SSU rRNA". It matches the Rfam family "Bacterial small subunit ribosomal RNA", at positions 337 to 656 of the family's 1533-position model. The record is from RNAcentral.